Molecule: small nucleolar RNA, 121 nt
Organism: Callithrix jacchus (white-tufted-ear marmoset)
Lineage: Eukaryota; Metazoa; Chordata; Mammalia; Primates; Cebidae
Source: Ensembl
CAGGCUGUGAUGAUUGGCGCAGGGGUAUGGACCUCAGCUGAUUCAUGGGAACUGAGUGUAUGUGUUUCUCCUUUGUCCUGCAUGUGGCAGGCUGAUGGGGAGUCAUGAGUGGGGGUGCUUG